CCAGUCGAGAAACCUCCACAAUGUGGGAAACCACGAUGGGGGAACUCCAAGUGCCUAGACUUUUGUCUAGGCUGUUCUCGAGCCUAAAAAGCUCGAGAAGUAAGGGCCGGGUAAGACGGGUGCCAGCCGCCGCGGUAAUACCCGCGGCCCGAGUGGUGCUCAUUAUUAUUGAGCCUAAAGCGUCCGUAGCUGGCCAGGCGAAUCUCCGGGUAAAUCGGGCGGCCCAACCGUCCGAAUUCCGGAGACACUGCCUGGCUUGGGAUCGGGAGAGGGUGAAGGUACUCCCGGGGUAGGGGUAAAAUCCUGUAAUCCUGGGGGGACCACCAGUGGCGAAGGCGUUCACCUAGAACGAAUCCGACAGUGAGGGACGAAGCCCUAGGGCGCAAACGGGAUUAGAUACCCCCGUAGUCC
Molecule: ribosomal RNA, 411 nt
Filed under: uncultured bacterium
Lineage: Bacteria
Description: bacterial SSU rRNA
Rfam family: Archaeal small subunit ribosomal RNA
Source: RNAcentral